CCGGCCGCUCCGCGCCCACCUGUGGCCCUCUUGGCCCUUCUGCCCGUGCCUGGCCCCGCCGGGUCGCUCCCGAGCUCCGCGUUUCGUUCGCCGACCCCUGGAAGACUGCCUGGAGGCCCGGGCGCCACCCAACCACUGGCUAGGCCGACACUUUGCGCGGACCCUGGGUGUAAAAGGUCCCCGGGUCUCUGGUCCCGACGGAGCUGUGAGGGAGAUCAACCACGCCCCCUCCGUGGGCACCGUGGCGGCAGGGAAGGAAAAGGGCUCUGGGUCUCGACUCUCUUCGGGUUAAGAACCGACGGGGUUUAUUCUAUGCAAGGUGUUAUUAACUCCAACUCUCCCUUUCGUUCAUUCAUUCCAUAUAUGUUGAACGACAACUUAGUGCCAAAUGCCGGCAUGCUGAAACUCAGAGAGGGAAGAUGUCUUGCAAGUACAGCAGCCACACCCAGAGUUUCGCUCUUGUUCCCUGGGCUGCAGUGCAGUGGCACCAUCUCGGCUCACCGCAACCUCCGCCUCCCAAGUUCAAGCGAUUCUCCUGCCUCAGCCUCCCCAGUAUCUGGGAUUACAGUUAAUGUUGGAGGCCUCUGGAGGAUGGCCACACCUGGGCUAUUUGCAGAAGCCUGGACAGCACAGCAGGCAGAGUUAAAGCAGUUAAGGCAGUAUCAGCUGAAGGGCCACCCAGCUGUGCGUGUGCCCAGGCUCCAAGAAUAAGGAGGUUGGGGGGCAGUCCUAAGAAAGGAAGUCAUUACCUAUCGGCAACCCAGGAGCAGACGCUGGCAUAACGGCGCACACACAGUAAAGGUCAGAGGUUCUUCUUAGAAUAGUCCUUAGGUGUUAGUCAAACCCAUGCCCUGCCCCAAGGAGUUCAUUCAUUCAUUCACUCAUUCAUUCACUCACUCACUCACUGGUUCUGUUUAUUCACUCAUUUCUCUAUCACAUAUCCAUUUAUUGUCAUUCACCCACUUAUUUACUCAUACAUUCAUUCAUUUGCUCAUCAAUUUAUUUGGUACCUACAUGGAGCCAGGUACAGGUCUUGAUUAAAGAGAUCUGGGGAGGAGUGCUCCCAAGAAGUUCAGAGCCUCACUGGUGAAGGAAAGCCAUGUAAAGACAGAUCUUGAGAACCCAAGAUCAUCAAGGAGUAUCCAUGAUCAAGCAGAGCAGGGAAGGCUUUUUGCUUUGUUUUGUUUUGUUUUUAACAUGCUGUGUGGUUCAGUAAAAUUAAAACAGGCACAAUGAUAUCCUGGAUGACAAGAGCUGGAGGCUGUCAUUCUAACAAUGUAGUGAGACUGGCUGUCUUGUCUCAUGCCCACCCCUGGAAACAUGCGCAGGAACUCAAAGCACCUAGCACAGAGGAAGUGUCUGGUUGUUUUAAAGGAAAAACAAAACCAAAAAAAGCACCUCCUGCUCUGACCACCCCUAUUUCCAGUUUUCCCUUUUGGCACAGCAAAGAUGACCUUGGGACUGAGGUGGAACCAUGUAAUUCUUCGUAAUCCCAGAGUCAGGCAGACCUGGGAGAUAACAUCCAUCUCGAAGGAAGAUCUGGCCUGAAGAGCAGUCACUCUUGCCUGGCAUGCAGAGAAUGCCAAAUCAUAUUAAUGACUGGCCAGAAUGAAGUGCGUGACCUCAUCACUCCAUAACUGACAGGAAACAACUGCUAGGGCAAGAAAAAAGGGUCUCCAGUGAGUAUUCUUGUCCACACACAUCCCCACUCACGUUCCUGGACCACUGCAUCUAACUGCCGCAGCAGCUAAUGAACCUUCUGGAAUAAAGGACCAGUUUCUUAAGAAGGGAUUGAGACCUCCAGUGGCCUCCCACAUUGUUUCCGGCAAGAAUUUAAAAAUUAUUUGUAACAUAUAGUAAUAAAAACUAACCACAGGCUGGGCGCAGUGGCUCACGCCUGUAAUCCCAGCACUUUGGGAGGCUGAGGCAGGUGGAUCACCUGAGGUCAGGAGUUCGAGACCAGCCUGACCAAUAUGGUGAAACCCUGUUUCUCCUAAAAAUACAAAAAUUAGCUGGGCAUGGUGGUGGGCGCCUGUAAUCUCAGCUACUCAGGAGGCUGAAACAGGAGAACUGCUUGAAUCUGGGAGGUAGAUGUUGCAGUGAGCCGAUAUCGCGCCAUUGCACUCCAGCCUGGGCAAUGACUCCGUCUCAAAAAAAAAAAAAAAAAAAAAAAACUAACCACAGCUACUAUUUAUGAACUCUAGUGCCACACCCCAUUUCUUCCCAGGUUUCACCCCCUCUUCCCAGGUUUCACCCACCCCAACCAGUGUUGUUUGCAACACUUCAGCUUCUCUCCUCACGAAGCACGUCUCCAGAGACGCCUCUUCCGCAACUUCCCAGGGAAGCCAUUUCUGCCUGGACCCACCACAGCUCCCAACCUGUCACGCACCCCUGGAGGGUUUUGCUCUGUAAUCCUGAUUUAGAAAUCCUCUUAUAUGAAACCACUGUAAUCCACAUCUGGUUAGACAAUUGGAAAAGUUCAUUGAAAGGAGAAAUAAUAAAAAUGGCAUCCAUCCCUUAAAUGUUGUAUGCCAACGUAAAACACAUUCGACAAUGACCCUGGGCUAAGGCUCUACCUUACAGAGAAACCUGUAUCGGUGUUCCCCUCCAUUUUCCUUACAUAAACCAACCAAAAAUCUUCAGUUGUUCCGUUCUCUGUCUCUCUCCCUCUCCACACCCACCUUCCCUCUUCCUCUCUCCCUCCCUCCCUCUCUCUUUCUCUCUUUUUUGAGACAGAGUUUCACUCUGUCACCCAGGCUGGAGUGCAGCGGCUAGAUCUUGGUUCACUGCAGCCUCCACCACUCCCCCCACUUCCCCCCCGCCGCCCCUGCCCCCACCGCAGCCUCCCAGGUGGCUGGGACUACAGGCCACCACGCCCACUAAUUUUUGUAUUUUUUCUAUAGAGACGGGGUUUCAUCAUGUUGCCCAGACUGGUCUCAAACUCUUGGGCUCAAGCAAUCCUCUCACCUCAGCCUCCCGGUGCUGGGAUUAUAGGCGUGAACCAUCGCGUCCGGCCUCCCAAAUCUUUUACAGUUGUCUUGUUCACUUCUCAUUCAGCAGCAUUUUGAGUUGGGAGGGGUAACAACUCACCUUAAUCAAGUCUCUCUAAAGCAUUCAACUUAGUUUUACUAGGUUCAUUUCUUGUAGCUCAUUGGUUUAACUAAUAGUUCCCCAAAUCACAUCCUACCAGUAUAAAAGCACAACUGGUAUAAACACGUUUGGGAACACACAUAACUCAAGUAUCAGGAUGUAAGAGCGAGAGCAUGGGGAGAGUUAAGAAUUUCUCACAGACUGAUUCCCUCCCACAUUCAUCCCUGGUGUGUUUAUCCGUGUUAGGGCUGUUCUGAUGAAAGUCUUGUAGGACUUGGCAGCAAGAUGGGAAAGAUCCAUGGAAGUCCAUUGCUCAUAGCUGAUGAUGAUCUCUCAUUGCUGAGCUUAGGGUUGAAAAAGGAGUGCCAGGUCCUUUGAAAUCAAGAAGAAUUUAUGAAUCACCUUUCAUUUAUGGAGCCCUUAGCUCAAAGCUCUAAAGUUAGUCUUUUCUCAAGAUUAUAUCCUAUUUGGGAAUGCUCAUAAUGGUCCAAUCACCAUUUGUGAAAACUUACUGUGUACCAGCAAUAAACACUCUUCUACAUAGACAAUCUCAUUCUAAUAUAAUUUCUGUGCACGUUAUAGAUUCUAUUUCUGAAACAGCCCUAUGUGGUAGUUUUAUUACUAUCCUCAUUUUCACCCAACAAAUCUGAGGCACUGAGAGGUUAAGGACCUGGACUGAAGCUGCACAGCUAGAAGGUGACAGA
RNAcentral lists this long non-coding RNA (3794 nucleotides) under Homo sapiens (human). RNAcentral describes it as "HSALNT0097898". The stretch from base 1877 to 1993 matches the Rfam family "Metazoan signal recognition particle RNA". The record is from RNAcentral. Lineage: Eukaryota; Metazoa; Chordata; Mammalia; Primates; Hominidae.